CGCGGCCUAUCAGCUUGUUGGUGGGGUAACGGCCUACCAAGGCAUCGACGGGUAGCUGGUCUGAGAGUACGAUCAGCCACACUGGGACUGAGACACGGCCCAGACUCCUACGGGAGGCAGCAGUAGGGAAUCUUGCGCAAUGGGCGAAAGCCUGACGCAGCAACGCCGCGUGAGGGAUGACGGCUUUCGGGUUGUAAACCUCUUUCAGUGAUGACGAAAAUGACGGUAGUCACAGAAGAAGGUCCGGCCAACUACGUGCCAGCAGCCGCGGUAACACGUAGGGGGCAAGCGUUGUCCGGAUUUAUUGGGCGUAAAGAGCUCGUAGGCGGUUGCGUAAGUCGGAUGUGAAAACUCAGGGCUCAACCCGGAGACGCCAUCCGAUACUGCGCUGACUAGAGUCCGGUAGAGGAGCAUGGAAUUCCUGGUGUAGCGGUGAAAUGCGCAGAUAUCAGGAGGAACACCAGUGGCGAAGGCGGUGCUCUGGGCCGGUACUGACGCUGAGGAGCGAAAGCGUGGGUAGCGAACAGGAUUAGAUACCCUGGUAGUCCACGCCGUAAACGUUGGGAACUAGGUGUGGCGAUCCGAUCAACGAUUGCCGUGCCGAAGCUAACGCAUUAAGUUCCCCGCCUGGGGAGUACGG
Molecule: ribosomal RNA, 640 nt
Filed under: uncultured bacterium
Lineage: Bacteria
Description: bacterial SSU rRNA
Rfam family: Bacterial small subunit ribosomal RNA
Source: RNAcentral